This 254-nucleotide ribosomal RNA is filed under the name uncultured bacterium. RNAcentral's name for it is "partial 16S ribosomal RNA". It matches the Rfam family "Bacterial small subunit ribosomal RNA", at positions 524 to 776 of the family's 1533-position model. The record is from RNAcentral.
UACGUAGGGCGCAAGCGUUGUCCGGAAUUAUUGGGCGUAAAGAGCUCGUAGGCGGUGUGUCGCGUCGGCCGUGAAAACCUGGGGCUUAACUCUGGGCUUGCGGUCGAUACGGGCAUCACUGGAGUUCGGCAGGGGAGACUGGAAUUCCUGGUGUAGCGGUGAAAUGCGCAGAUAUCAGGAGGAACACCGGUGGCGAAGGCGGGUCUCUGGGCCGAUACUGACGCUGAGGAGCGAAAGCGUGGGGAGCGAACAGG